Molecule: long non-coding RNA, 1460 nt
Filed under: Equus caballus (horse)
Lineage: Eukaryota; Metazoa; Chordata; Mammalia; Perissodactyla; Equidae
Description: lncRNA (ENSECAG00000052879.1)
Source: RNAcentral
CUUGAUUUCAGCUUUCCAAACUCUUUUCAUUGAUCUCUAUUUUUGCUUUCCUUCUCUUCUUUCACUGUUUAUCUUAGAAUGAAUGUUAUAGAAUUUUAGAGCUGAAAGGACCUCAGGGAUGGGAAGAGUGGAGGUGGUGGGACUGUGGGACCCCAGAGAAGGGGCCAGCACCCAGCAGUUCUGCCACGGGCGCAGUUUCUGCACCACCUUCCUUUCUGGGUGUCCCUGUCACUCGAUGUGGCAGAGCUUAGCAGGUUUACUUUCCUCCAGCAUGUGUCUAAGAGAAAAAAGGAGAAGAAUUUCCAUACGCCAGAAAUCUACAAAGGCAUCCUUUUACGAUGAAAUAACCUCCAUUUAUUGUUUUGCUUCUAACUUUUCAAUGACCUCCAAAUAUAAUAAGAAUGAUGGUGUCUUCAAAAUGGGUGAAGUUUGUAAAACUUGCUGGGUCAGUGCAGGAAUACUCCUAAUCUUCUGAACUGUAACAUUUCAAAUUGAUAACAAAAGAAAACCAGCUCGUCCACGUGUGAGUUCGGUUGGGAAAUUCACAUGCUUUUAAAAUGCUGUCCAUCAGUGGCUUAUAAAAGUAUUUGAUGGAUGUUUGAUGGAAUUUGAAUUAUUAAGCAAUGUCAAAUAGAAUUUUGGCUUCACUGUUAAUGAGGUGUCAUUGAAAAGAGUUGUAAAAAUAGCAAGAGAUUUGUUUUAAUAAAAGAGGAAGAAGGGAAAGGCAAAUUAAAUCCAAUAAAUGCAUGAAGCUGAACAGCUGGAGGCACCCACUCCCUUUCCUCACCUCUCUUUUCUCUCUGUGCUGGGUGCUUCUCACCACCUCUAUGGAGGUAUUUGACGCAGACAGCCAAUUAGUACUGGGUGACCCUGCUCCAUAUCUGAGAGAUGUACCACUUUGCCAAACCAGUGUGAUCAAAAGUUGAUCUUUGACAAGCUGUUAGGCAAAACAUGUAUCUCUCUGCGUGAGUCGGCGCAUUGGCAUUUCCUUUUCUGUAAACUGUUUCUUCGUGUUAAGGGUAGUUUUGAUAAAUCCAUUUGGAAGAGAGUCGGGUUCACAGAGGUCACCAACUGGGAAACAUUUUAAGAAGGAGAGGAAAAGAGCCAAGUGAGCUUUAUGAAAGAAAAAUAAACUCAAGAACGAUUUCUUUUUCUAAAGAAACCACUGUAUCUGGAUUAUGCCCUGUCAAUAUGCCAGGUAUGCACAGAUGGUUCUUCAGUCUGAUGGAUUGACAUUUCUUCCCCUGGAUUGUGAUAGAAAAACCUUUCCCUCGCAGACCUGGAACUCACAAUGACAUUCUAGCAUUACUAGAGUAUGUUUUCAUUGCAAAUUGCAUGUAAAACCCAUUGUUUCAUUGCAAAUAAAAGUUUAGAUUUACUGUGAUGUGACCACAAUGUGAUAUUUUCAUCCAUAAAGCCCUCGGUUACUUCCUUGCUUUAGUGCACCAGGCUGAAGGGAG